RNAcentral lists this ribosomal RNA (252 nucleotides) under uncultured bacterium. Its description in RNAcentral is "partial 16S ribosomal RNA". It matches the Rfam family "Bacterial small subunit ribosomal RNA", at positions 524 to 776 of the family's 1533-position model. The record is from RNAcentral.
UACGGGGGGUGCGAGCGUUGUCCGGAUUCACUGGGCGUAAAGGGCGCGUAGGCGGCCUGGUCAGUCGGACCUUUAAGAGCGGGGCUCACCCCCGUGGUGGGUUCGGGACGGCCGGGCUGGGGCGCGGCAGAGGGGGACGGAAUGCCGGGUGUAAUGGUGAAAUGCGUAGAGAUCCGGCGGAACACCGGUGGUGAAGACGGUCCCCUGGGCCGAGGCCGACGCUGAGGCGCGAGAGCGCGGGGAGCGAACCGG